This 465-nucleotide ribosomal RNA is filed under the name uncultured bacterium. RNAcentral describes it as "partial 16S ribosomal RNA". It matches the Rfam family "Bacterial small subunit ribosomal RNA", at positions 28 to 507 of the family's 1533-position model. The record is from RNAcentral.
GACGAACGCUGGCGGCGUGCUUAACACAUGCAAGUCGAACGGUGAACUCCGCUUGCGGGGGGAUCAGUGGCGAACGGGUGAGUAACACGUGGGCAACCUGCCCUCAGCUCUGGGAUAACUCCAAGAAAUUGGGGCUAAUACCGGAUAUGACCGCUGACCGCAUGGUCUGGUGGUGGAAAGAUUUAUCGGCUGGGGAUGGGCCCGCGGCCUAUCAGCUUGUUGGUGGGGUAGUGGCCUACCGAGGCGACGACGGGUAGCCGGCCUGAGAGGGUGACCGGCCACACUGGGACUGAGAGACGGCCCAGACUCCUACGGGAGGCAGCAGUGGGGAAUAUUGCGCAAUGGGCGAAAGCCUGACGCAGCGACGCCGCGUGGGGGAUGACGGCCUUCGGGUUGUAAACCUCUUUCAGCAGGGACGAAGCGAAAGUGACGGUACCUGCAGAAGAAGCACCGGCCAACUACGUG